AGAAAUUGAAAGAAGCCAAAGCCAUGCAACCAACUGUAGCGACCUAUCUAAUCCUUCUUCGGUUGAAGACGAAACUACCGACAUUCUUCCCUAUGGUGAUCGAACCGAUAACCUAGGAAAAAACUCCACUGCCUAUUCAAAGGGCACCGAAAUGCUUUCCUCGGCUAUCUUAUCGACUGAUGCUUUUAACCUCAGUGACAAUGGUGAAGAAGGAACACCUGCGGGAACAGUUUCUGUGUUGGAUGAGGCAAAUGCUACAGGAAUGGUAGGUUUGAUCCCCAGUUCUGUUGCAUCAAAGCUCGAGAACAGGCAUGGACCAACUGCCCCAAAACUCAACACCGAUAAUCAGUUAAACGCCCUUGUUCGAUCUGGUAUGGAGCGCCAGCCAUUCGUUGGCUGUUCUUCAGAUGGCUUGCCUAUUACUCCCUGCAAGCUUGAAGUGCUAAAGGAUAGUCUUGGUAGAGGUGAGAGACCGAAAUCCGGCUGCAAGGAUCUCGACAAUAGGACUCGAAAAGGAGGGGAACCCCAAGACGGCGGCACGUCAAAGAUGCGAACUGGGGAAAGACAGGACGACAAAUGUGCUGAAAAUGGUGUUUCAGAUCGGGAUUUCGAGCAUUAUGUGAAGGUCAUUAGAUGGUUAGAAUGCGAGGGUCAUAUUGAAAAAAAUUUCAGGCAGAAAUUUCUUACUUGGUACAGCUUGAGAGCAUCCCAACAAGAAGUGAAGAUUGUUAGGGUGUUUGUUGAUACCUUUAUUGAAGAUCCAGCAUCUCUUGCAGAACAACUUGUA
Molecule: unclassified non-coding RNA, 787 nt
Filed under: Hevea brasiliensis (rubber tree)
Lineage: Eukaryota; Viridiplantae; Streptophyta; Magnoliopsida; Malpighiales; Euphorbiaceae
Source: RNAcentral